AGCAGCCGCGGUAAUUCCAGCUCCAAUAGCGUAUAUUAAAGUUGUUGCAGUUAAAAAGCUCGUAGUUGAAUUUCGGAAUCGACGGAUUGGUCGCGCCUUUGGUGUGUACUGGUCUUGCCGGUUUCUCCCUUCUGACGAACCACGAUGUCAUUAAUUUGGUGUCGUGGGGAAUCAGGACUGUUACUUUGAAAAAAUUAGAGUGUUUAAAGCAGGCAUUAGCUUGAAUACAUUAGCAUGGAAUAAUGAAAUAGGACGUUUGAUCUUAUUUUGUUGGUUUCUAGGAUCGACGUAAUGAUUAAUAGGGAUAGUUGGGGGCAUUAGUAUUCAAUUGUCAGAGGUGAAAUUCUUGGAUUUAUUGAAGACUAACUACUGCGAAAGCAUUUGCCAAGGAUGUUUUCAUUAAUCAAGAACGAAAGUUAGGGGAUCGAAGACGAUCAGAUACCGUCGUAGUCUUAACCAUAAACUAUGCCGACUAGGGAUCGGAUGAUGUUAAUUUUUUAAUGACUCA
RNAcentral lists this ribosomal RNA (508 nucleotides) under Glomus sp. RNAcentral's name for it is "SSU rRNA". It matches the Rfam family "Eukaryotic small subunit ribosomal RNA", at positions 569 to 1078 of the family's 1831-position model. The record is from RNAcentral. Lineage: Eukaryota; Fungi; Glomeromycota; Glomeromycetes; Glomerales; Glomeraceae.